AAGAAGCUAGUUUAAAAAAAACAUUUAACUGUCAAAUAAAAAAUACAUUUUAUGUGCAUCUUG
This 63-nucleotide transfer RNA is filed under the name Lycorma meliae. Its description in RNAcentral is "tRNA-Asp". Lineage: Eukaryota; Metazoa; Arthropoda; Insecta; Hemiptera; Fulgoridae. The record is from RNAcentral.